GAUGAACGCUGGCGGCGUGCUUAACACAUGCAAGUCGAACGAGAAGUGAAGACGGAAGCCUUCGGGCGGAAGGCUUUAUUUCGAGUGGCGGACGGGUGAGUAACUCGUGGGUAACCUGCCUCAUACAGGGGGAUAACAGUUGGAAACGACUGUUAAUACCGCAUAAGACCACAGCACCGCAUGGUACGGGGGUAAAAACUCCGGUGGUAUGAGCUGGACCCGCGUUCGAUUAGCCAGUUGGCGGGGUAACGCCCACCAACGCGACGAUCGAUAGCCGAUCUGAGAGGAUGACCGGCCACAUUGGGACUGAGACACGGCCCAAAAUCCUACGGGAGGCAGCAGUGGGGAAUAUUGCACAAUGGGGGAAACCAUGAUGCAGCGACGACGCGUGAGUGAAGAAGUAUUUCGCGAUGUAAAGCUCUACCAGCAGGGAAGAAAAUGACGGUACCUGAGUAAGAAGCCCCGGCUAACUACGUG
RNAcentral lists this ribosomal RNA (477 nucleotides) under uncultured bacterium. Its description in RNAcentral is "partial 16S ribosomal RNA". It matches the Rfam family "Bacterial small subunit ribosomal RNA", at positions 28 to 507 of the family's 1533-position model. The record is from RNAcentral.